GAUGAACGCUGGCGGCGUGCCUAACACAUGCAAGUCGAGCGAACGGACGAGAAGCUUGCGUCUCUGAUGUUAGCGGCGGACGGGUGAGUAACACGUGGAUAACCUACCUAUAAGACUGGGAUAACUUCGGGAAACCGUAGCUAAUACCGGAUAAUAUUUUGAACCGCAUGGUUCAAAAGUGAAAGACGGUCUUGCUGUCACUUAUAAAUGGAUCCGCGCUGCAUUAGCUAGUUGGUAAGGUAACGGCUUACCAAGGCAACGAUGCAUAGCCGACCUGAGAGGGUGAUCGGCCACACUGGAACUGAGACACGGACCAGACUCCUACGGGAGGCAGCAGUAGGGAAUCUUCCGCAAUGGGCGAAAGCCUGACGGAGCAACGCCGCGUGAGUGAUGAAGGUCUUCGGAUCGUAAAACUCUGUUAUUAGGGAAGAACAUAUGUGUAAGUAACUGUGCACAUCUUGACGGUACCUAAUCAGAAAGCCACGGCUAACUACGUG
RNAcentral lists this ribosomal RNA (497 nucleotides) under uncultured bacterium. RNAcentral describes it as "partial 16S ribosomal RNA". It matches the Rfam family "Bacterial small subunit ribosomal RNA", at positions 28 to 507 of the family's 1533-position model. The record is from RNAcentral.